RNAcentral lists this unclassified non-coding RNA (245 nucleotides) under Hevea brasiliensis (rubber tree). Lineage: Eukaryota; Viridiplantae; Streptophyta; Magnoliopsida; Malpighiales; Euphorbiaceae. The record is from RNAcentral.
UUCAACUUUAACUUGGAGAUUUGAUUUGCUGCAGUUUCAAUCAAGUUUAUUCAAGUUUUUAAACUUGAAAGUUGGCACGCAAAUUGAGGGAGAAUUCAAAUAUGGAGUUUGUAAGUUUGGUGCAUUCUUCAAAUUGACAUGUGCUUGUUUUUUCAUUGCUUUAGAUCUGAUUGCUUUCAUUGUUUUAAGUUAUUUGAGUCUAUUUUCGAUUGCUGGAGUGUUGUUUGGUGUGUUUAGAUCUUGGG